Non-coding RNA from Podarcis lilfordi (Lilford's wall lizard), 78 nucleotides. The record is from the annotation of a GenBank genome assembly. Lineage: Eukaryota; Metazoa; Chordata; Lepidosauria; Squamata; Lacertidae.
GAGCCAUAGCUGAGUGGUAGAGCAUCUGCCUUGCAUGAAGAAGGUCUCAGGUCUGAGGUUCAAUCCUUGGCAUCUUCA